UCUCCUUGCGUAUGCAGCGAUCAGCAUCACAACAGGGUGUGAAGGGAAAUGGAACACAUUCUCCUCAUGAUAGAAAAUGGCAAAGAUGAGAAUAUCUCUGGAAGGCCUAGAAUACAGAGGUGUUGAAGACAUUUGAUCAGCCUUUUCUCAUGAGCAUCUACAGUAGAGACUGAUAUUGAGCUUGAUUACAGCUUGGUAUUUUCAGGAUCUUGUUCUGUUUGCACAUUAGGUUGCCCGGUUUGAGCCUUUGAGGUGUGUGUGGAAUGGGCAGGGGAGGGAGAUGGAGGGACACAGGAUUGAAGAUUUUAUGUACAGUAGUAGUGUCUUAAAAUUCCUGCCCCGAGGUUUGAUUAUAUUUCUUGUCUCGUAUCACCUUUUUAUAUCCAGAGUUUGGCAUUAUAUGUAAGAUGAAUUGAGUUUCAGAGGACCAUGGAAUAUUGAAAUAAGAUGAAAUAUUCCUUUUGCUUCA
Molecule: long non-coding RNA, 469 nt
Organism: Telopea speciosissima
Lineage: Eukaryota; Viridiplantae; Streptophyta; Magnoliopsida; Proteales; Proteaceae
Exons: 2
Source: RefSeq, a predicted model, not a curated record